AAGGGUUUUCAUUUACAGACCCCCGUUUUUGGGGGAACCCUGUUUUUUUUUUCCCCAAAAGAACGGGGGCCCCUUUUUUUUGGAAAAACUUUUUUUUUUUUCCCCCCAAAAAGGGAGGGGGGGCUUUUGUUACGAAAAAAUAUUAUCCAAACACUUUUAAUAGGGAACGCGGCCGACCCUUUUUAAUAAUAUCCUACUUCAAACCUUUUUUCAUAAAAGUUUUCCAAGGUUUUUCAACUUUCAACAUUUUAUCUCUUGGUUCUAGCGGCGAGGAAAUACGCUGCUAAAAGCAAUAAAUAACGUGAAUUGCCCAACUCCAGUGAAUCAUCAAAUCUUUGAACGCACAUUGUGCUCGCCAGUAUUCUGUGCGGCAUUGUCUUUAUUAAUGUUAUUUAUAACCCUCAAACCCUUAAGAGGGGUUC
This 422-nucleotide unclassified non-coding RNA is filed under the name Trichoderma harzianum. Its description in RNAcentral is "sequence contains 18S rRNA gene, ITS1, 5.8S rRNA gene, ITS2, 28S rRNA gene". The stretch from base 236 to 391 matches the Rfam family "5.8S ribosomal RNA". Lineage: Eukaryota; Fungi; Ascomycota; Sordariomycetes; Hypocreales; Hypocreaceae. The record is from RNAcentral.